This 1533-nucleotide long non-coding RNA is filed under the name Coturnix japonica (Japanese quail). RNAcentral describes it as "lncRNA (ENSCJPG00005002655.1)". The record is from RNAcentral. Lineage: Eukaryota; Metazoa; Chordata; Aves; Galliformes; Phasianidae.
AUGCUGUUCUGGCUAUGGGGGGUCGGAUCCUUUGGCUGUUCCUCGGGGCUCCUCCUGCCCCCCCCGGGUUUGGAAAUGGGGGGGGGGUUAAUGGUGGUGCUACGCGGACUCGCCCAUGUUAUGGUUGGAGGGGGAGCGGGGUUGGAGACGCGCCAACAGUGGGUGAUGAUUAUUGCGAAAAUCGAAGGGGUGGAUGAAAGGGUGGGGGGGGGGAGGGGGAGGGGAGGAGGGAAGAGCCUCGUGGUGACGGGGGGGAGGGGCGUCACCAUGGCAACCAGGAAGAGCAUCACCAUGGAGACGGUCACCAUGGCAACAAGGAGGAGCAUCAACAUGGCGGCCAUGAAGAGCAUCAACAUGGCGACCAUAAAGAGCAUCACCAUGGCAACCAGGAGGAUGCUCGUCACCAUGGCAACCGUCACCAUGGAGACCAGGAUGGGCAUCAACAUGGCGACCGUCACCAUGGAGACCGUCACCAUGGCAACCAGGAUGGAGAGCAUCAACAUGGAGACCAUAAGGAAUGUCAACAUGGCGACCAGGAGGAUGCUCGUCACUAUGGCAACCGUCACCAUGGAGACCAGGAUGGGCAUCAACAUGGCGACCGUCACCAUGGUAACCAUAAAGAGCAUCACCAUGGCAACCAGGAUGGAUGUCCAUCACCAUGACGACCAUGAUGUCCAUCACCAUGACGACCAUGAUGUCCAUCACCAUGGCAACCAGGAUGCUCGUCACCAUGGCAACCAUCACCAUGGCGACCCCGUGAGCUCCGAGGAGGAGGAUGAUGAUGAUGAUGAUGGUGGUGGGGGCAGCUCGGAGGAGGAUGAAGAUGAUGAUGAUGAUGAUGAUGGUGGUGAUGGACGUUACAGGCCGGGAUCCAUCUGCAGCUACUGCAGCUUCUGCAAGGUGAGCUAUGGGGCGGAUGUGGGGCAGCUAUGGGGCAGAUAUAGGGCAGAUAUAGGGUAUCUAUGGGGCAGCUAUGGGGUAUCUAUGGGGCAGCUAUGGGGUAGAUAUGGGGCACUAUGGGGCAGCUAUGGGGGUAUCUAUGGGGCCAGCUAUGGGCAGCUAUGGGGUUAUCUAGGGGCAAGAUAUGGGGUUAUCUUCUUGGGGCAGAUAUGGGGCAGCUAAUGGGGUAUCUAUGGGGCAGCUAUGGGUAGAUAUGGGGCAGAUAUGGCGGCAGCUAUGGGGGCAGAUAUGGGGUAUCUUGGGCAGCUAUGGGGUAUCUAUGGGGCAAUAAUGGGGCAGCUAUGGGUAUCUUAUGGGGCAGCUAUGGGGCAGCCAAUGGGGCAGCUAUGGGUAAUCUAUGGGGGCAGCUAUGGGACAGAUAUGGGGUGCUUUAAGGGUAUCUAUGGGGUCAUCUAUGGGGCAGCUAUGGGCAAGCUAUGGGCGGGUCUCUAUGGGGGGGUCCAAUGAGGGGGGGUCUCUUUUGGGGUCCAUUGGGGGGGUCUCUUUAGGGUCUAUUGGGGGGGGGGUCCUCUUGGGGGGCUAUUGGGGGGGUCUCUCUGGGGGGUCAAUGGGGGGGGUCUCUGUGGGGGGGGU